RNAcentral lists this ribosomal RNA (1442 nucleotides) under uncultured organism. Its description in RNAcentral is "SSU rRNA". It matches the Rfam family "Bacterial small subunit ribosomal RNA". The record is from RNAcentral.
GGCUUAACACAUGCAAGUCGAGGGGCGGCAUGGUCUUAGCUUGCUAAGGCCGAUGGCGACCGGCGCACGGGUGAGUAACACGUAUCCAACCUGCCGUCUACUCUUGGACAGCCUUCUGAAAGGAAGAUUAAUACAAGAUGGCAUCAUGAGUCCGCAUGUUCACAUGAUUAAAGGUAUUCCGGUAGACGAUGGGGAUGCGUUCCAUUAGAUAGUAGGCGGGGUAACGGCCCACCUAGUCUUCGAUGGAUAGGGGUUCUGAGAGGAAGGUCCCCCACAUUGGAACUGAGACACGGUCCAAACUCCUACGGGAGGCAGCAGUGAGGAAUAUUGGUCAAUGGGCGAGAGCCUGAACCAGCCAAGUAGCGUGAAGGAUGACUGCCCUAUGGGUUGUAAACUUCUUUUAUAAAGGAAUAAAGUCGGGUAUGGAUACCCGUUUGCAUGUACUUUAUGAAUAAGGAUCGGCUAACUCCGUGCCAGCAGCCGCGGUAAUACGGAGGAUCCGAGCGUUAUCCGGAUUUAUUGGGUUUAAAGGGAGCGUAGAUGGAUGUUUAAGUCAGUUGUGAAAGUUUGCGGCUCAACCGUAAAAUUGCAGUUGAUACUGGAUAUCUUGAGUGCAGUUGAGGCAGGCGGAAUUCGUGGUGUAGCGGUGAAAUGCUUAGAUAUCACGAAGAACUCCGAUUGCGAAGGCAGCCUGCUAAGCUGCAACUGACAUUGAGGCUCGAAAGUGUGGGUAUCAAACAGGAUUAGAUACCCUGGUAGUCCACACGGUAAACGAUGAAUACUCGCUGUUUGCGAUAUACUGCAAGCGGCCAAGCGAAAGCGUUAAGUAUUCCACCUGGGGAGUACGCCGGCAACGGUGAAACUCAAAGGAAUUGACGGGGGCCCGCACAAGCGGAGGAACAUGUGGUUUAAUUCGAUGAUACGCGAGGAACCUUACCCGGGCUUAAAUUGCAGAUGAAUUACGGUGAAAGCCGUAAGCCGCAAGGCAUCUGUGAAGGUGCUGCAUGGUUGUCGUCAGCUCGUGCCGUGAGGUGUCGGCUUAAGUGCCAUAACGAGCGCAACCCUUGUUGUCAGUUACUAACAGGUUCCGCUGAGGACUCUGACAAGACUGCCAUCGUAAGAUGUGAGGAAGGUGGGGAUGACGUCAAAUCAGCACGGCCCUUACGUCCGGGGCUACACACGUGUUACAAUGGGGGGUACAGAGGGCCGCUACCACGCGAGUGGAUGCCAAUCCCCAAAACCUCUCUCAGUUCGGACUGGAGUCUGCAACCCGACUCCACGAAGCUGGAUUCGCUAGUAAUCGCGCAUCAGCCACGGCGCGGUGAAUACGUUCCCGGGCCUUGUACACACCGCCCGUCAAGCCAUGGGAGCCGGGGGUACCUGAAGUGCGUAACCGCGAGGAGCGCCCUAGGGUAAAACUGGUGACUGGGGCUAAGUCAUAA